RNAcentral lists this ribosomal RNA (496 nucleotides) under uncultured bacterium. RNAcentral's name for it is "partial 16S ribosomal RNA". It matches the Rfam family "Bacterial small subunit ribosomal RNA", at positions 29 to 507 of the family's 1533-position model. The record is from RNAcentral.
AUGAACGCUGGCGGCGUGCCUCAUACAUGCAAGUCGAGCGAACAGACGAGGAGCUUGCUCCUCUGACGUUAGCGGCGGACGGGUGAGUAACACGUGGAUAACCUACCUAUAAGACUGGGAUAACUUCGGGAAACCGGAGCUAAUACCGGAUAAUAUAUUGAACCGCAUGGUUCAAUAGUGAAAGACGGUUUUGCUGUCACUUAUAGAUGGAUCCGCGCCGCAUUAGCUAGUUGGUAAGGUAACGGCUUACCAAGGCAACGAUGCGUAGCCGACCUGAGAGGGUGAUCGGCCACACUGGAACUGAGACACGGUCCAGACUCCUACGGGAGGCAGCAGUAGGGAAUCUUCCGCAAUGGGCGAAAGCUUGACGGAGCAACGCCGCGUGAGUGAUGAAGGUCUUCGGAUCGUAAAACUCUGUUAUUAGGGAAGAACAAAUGUGUAAGUAACUACGCACGUCUUGACGGUACCUAAUCAGAAAGCCACGGCUAACUACGUG